Molecule: ribosomal RNA, 253 nt
Filed under: uncultured microorganism
Description: partial 16S ribosomal RNA
Rfam family: Bacterial small subunit ribosomal RNA
Source: RNAcentral
UAGGUAGGGUGCGAGCGUUAAUCGGAUUUACUGGGCGUAAAGCGUGCGCAGGCGGCCCGUUAAGACAGGUGUGAAAUCCCUGGGCUCAACCUAGGAAUUGCGCUUGUGACUGGCGGGCUCGAGUACGGUAGAGGGGGGUGGAAUUCCUGGUGUAGCAGUGAAAUGCGUAGAGAUCAGGAGGAACACCGAUGGCGAAGGCAGCCCCCUGGGCCUGUACUGACGCUCAUGCACGAAAGCGUGGGGAGCAAACAGG